This 165-nucleotide ribosomal RNA is filed under the name Hesperodiaptomus arcticus. RNAcentral's name for it is "5.8S ribosomal RNA". It matches the Rfam family "5.8S ribosomal RNA". Rfam says of the family: 5.8S ribosomal RNA (5.8S rRNA) is a component of the large subunit of the eukaryotic ribosome. It is transcribed by RNA polymerase I as part of the 45S precursor that also contains 18S and 28S rRNA. Lineage: Eukaryota; Metazoa; Arthropoda; Copepoda; Calanoida; Diaptomidae. The record is from RNAcentral.
CACUAUACAGUGGAUCAUUUGGCUCGGGGGUCGAUGAAGAACGGAGCUAACUCCGUGACGCAAUGUGAACUGCAGGACACAUGAACAUCGACAUUUUGAACGCAUAUUGCGGACAUGUGCUUGUUGCAUGUCCAUGUUUGGGUCAGGGUCGGUUGAAACAUCCAU